GGGCGUGGCCUGUGCGAUGGGCUGGACAUGGCUGGGUACCGCGCGUGCGUAGAGCUGUCAGCCGCACCCACGCCGCGCUUCUACCAAAGUUGCAAAGCCACCAGCAGACCUGUCAGAACCGAGAAGAUCCCGGCGACCGAAGAAAGGCAAAACCGUUCCGUGUGGGCUGCCCGGAGUGGCAUCGAGUCUUGUUCGAGUCCGAAGAGCUUCCUGCUACUCUAAGCCGGUUUAAGUGAUGCGAGUAUCCUCCUCUUGUCCCACCCGGUCUGCGUCCUGAUACCUAGUGGACUCCGCCCCAGGAGUGCGAGCAUCCUGAACGUUCAAGGUGUCCUGCGCGGCGGAAGGCAUCCGGCCACACCCGGAACCUCGCUGGUCCCUCGCCGGCCAACGCCAGUCCAGGUGGUCAGGCUCAGGAUGGAUUGUGAGCUUUCAAAGAGCAAGGAGAUGGAAGCCAGCAAGUACGCCACCAGCCGAAUGAAUUGUUGCUCUAUGGCUUGCACAAAGUCAAGCAAAUUAUCUUCUCAUGUUAUGUAAUAUCUCAACAGCCUGCUUACCUUACUCCUUUAAUCUAGGUUAUUCUUGAAAGUAGCACUUGAAACAAAAAGUCGAUACGUUCUACUGGGAAUGUGAAAGAAAAGCCAAGGUAAUUGGGGAAGCAUUGCCAAGAGCUCACUAGCUAUGUUAGACAAAAGCAUCCCAUGAGUCUUAAUAAAUUUUUUCUGACAUAUGUCUUUUCAAUGGACCAGAGAGGGAGGACGGGCACGCAUACACACACACACACACACACACACACACACACACACACACACACACACACACACAGAGAGAGAGAGAGAGAGAGACAGAGACAGAGACAGAGACAGAGACAGAGAGUCAAACAGAGAGAAGCAUUUUUCUUCUCUAUCAACAGCCAUCUCUGUAUGAGGAUUUCUCCCUUCACAUGGCAAUUGUGCCAUCCCUGUAGGCUGCCAGGGAACCUGCUUGGUACCGCCAUAUCAGAGACACCUCACGUAAGGAGGCUGGAUGCUUGCAAUAGUGCUUGAAGCAUUGUUAACAAAGAGCAGAGUCCAGUCUUCCAGAGUCAUGACCUGCCUGAAUCCAAAGUUGAAAAGACCUGAGUGGUGUAAAAGCAGCCUGUCAUACUCUGCAUAAUACCUUGUUAGGCCUGAAUAAAUCUAUUUGCACUUCUUUCUGUAAUCAUACUUAUGUAGAUAAGGUUGGCAGGAGGAAGAUUAAAUAUAUUAAAAGGUGUGUGUUUAUAACAGUUUUAACCUCAAGUCAUGUUUAUUUAUAAGAGAAAAAGACAGUGGAAUUUGGGAAAUUAAGAAAUGAUUCUUGCCUGGUGGUGGUGCCACAUACCUUUAAUCCAGCACUUGGGAGAAAAAGACAGGCAGAUCUCUGAUUUUGAGGGCAGCCCAGUCUAGAGAGUGAGUACCAAGACAACCACAGGACUACAUAGAGAAAUUUUGUCUCAAAAGAUUGAAAAAAACAAAGUCUCAAAUGUUAGAGUAGGGAGAGUGUCAGUUAUCUCUUUUUGAGCAGUCUCAUGAACAAUCAUGAAUCAGGAGAAGGGCUGAAAGAAGAAAACUAUUUCAAAUGUGAGCUUUAUAAAUUAUUGCCACAGACUUCCCCUAAGAGACUGUCUCCUGUUCUUAUGAUGUACCAGUGACAGAAAACGUAUGACUAAUGGAGAGAAACUAGUAGAUAUACAAGAAAAAAAGCAUUGGGAUAAUUGUCAUCUUAUAAAGAGCUGUCAUGAACAUUUGUCAGAA
Non-coding RNA from Rattus norvegicus (Norway rat), 1772 nucleotides. The record is from RefSeq and is a predicted model, not a curated record. Lineage: Eukaryota; Metazoa; Chordata; Mammalia; Rodentia; Muridae.